RNAcentral lists this unclassified non-coding RNA (409 nucleotides) under Bombus terrestris (buff-tailed bumblebee). Its description in RNAcentral is "misc RNA ENSBTSG00005034792.1". The record is from RNAcentral. Lineage: Eukaryota; Metazoa; Arthropoda; Insecta; Hymenoptera; Apidae.
ACUCUCUGCGUUACGGUCCGCGAUAUACGUCGCAGCAGGGUGGUGAAUUGGUGGCUGUUGAUGGUGGUGGUACAUAUAUGAAAUGGAGGCCUUGUGACGUGAACCAAAAGUGAAAGAGAGAUAGAACGAUAAGACGAAAAGAGGGAGAGAGAAGGUGUUAAAGAGAAGGGAGCACGUAUCGAGGGUGUAAAGCAGGUAGAUGCAAGAAGCACGACUAGGAUGGGGCCAAGAAUCAGAGAAGAAAGGAAGCAGCUAGAAGGGGGCAGUAUGUACGGAGAGAGCAAUAGAGGAGAAUGUGAGAUUUUCCAGCCAGCUAAAAAGUCUAGACACGGAAAUUUCAAAGCUGGCGAACACAGAGAAACGGCGACGGUGGUUUUCUGAGCGCACGGAAGCGGCACGUACACCAACG